Molecule: non-coding RNA, 981 nt
Organism: Oryctolagus cuniculus (rabbit)
Lineage: Eukaryota; Metazoa; Chordata; Mammalia; Lagomorpha; Leporidae
Source: RefSeq, a predicted model, not a curated record
UCCCUCGGGCGGCGCCGGGGAGGCGCUGAGCUGCGCGGAUGGAGUAGGGGCGGGCGAGGGUUUCCUCCCAGGCAGGGUGGGCUCUGAAGGGCCCGGCCCGGAGGUUCCUGAGGGCCGCGAGGGCGGGGUGUGUGUGCGCGCACGGACGCGCAGGAGGCUGGGGAGAAGUGUUAAGGAAGAGGGCGGAGAGGAGCCUGGGGUCGCGGUCUCCUGAGACGUGGGUUCGAGUCCCAGCUGUGCACACGCAGGCAGCGUGACCUUGCCCCCCCCCCACAUCGACCCCACACCCCCGCCGUGUGCCUGCCAGCCUGUUUCCCCAGGGGUGAAGGAGGAGCGAGCACUUGUUACUUUGUGCCAUCUGUGUGCGAGUACCCUAGGAGUUUUGUCUUCGCAGUUCCCUCAAAACGACCCGAAAUAGGCGGGUGCUGGCUUCACCCCCAUUUUAGAGGAGGAGGCCCAGCCACUCUGGUGAUGUGAAAGAGGGUCUUGGUGCAACACAUUUCUGUAAUGGCCAAUACUACUGAAUUCCCACGGGUGGCUCAUCGAGCAUGUGGAUCUUCUUGGGAGAAAUGUCUACCCAGGUCUUUUCCUCAUGUUAAAAUUGAGAGGAUUUAUUUAUUUGAAAGUCUGAGUUACACAGAGAGAGGAGAGGCAGAGAGAGAAGUCUUCCAUCUGAUGGUUCACUCCUCAAAUGACUGCAACAGCCAGAGCUGCACCGAUUGGAAGCCAAUAGCCAGGAACUUCUUUGCGUCUUUCAUGUGGUUGCAGAGGCCCAAGGACCUGGACCAUCUUCUACUGCUUCCCAGGCUAUAGCAGAGAGCUGGAUAGGGAGUGGAGCAGCCGGCUUUCAAACCGGCGCCCAUAUGGGAUGCCGAUGCUUCAGGCCAGGGCGUUAACCCGCUGCGCCACAGUGCUGGCCCCUCUGAUAUCUUAUCUAAGAAAUCUUUGCCUAACCCAAGAUCAUUAAAAUUGACUCCUAUA